Molecule: non-coding RNA, 71 nt
Organism: Rattus norvegicus (Norway rat)
Lineage: Eukaryota; Metazoa; Chordata; Mammalia; Rodentia; Muridae
Source: Rfam
GGGAAGGUGGCUUAAUUGGUAAAGUACUUGCCUUGCAAGCAAGAGGACCUGAGUUGGGUCCCCAGAACCCA